RNAcentral lists this ribosomal RNA (507 nucleotides) under uncultured bacterium. Its description in RNAcentral is "partial 16S ribosomal RNA". It matches the Rfam family "Bacterial small subunit ribosomal RNA", at positions 28 to 507 of the family's 1533-position model. The record is from RNAcentral.
GACGAACGCUGGCGGCGUGCUUAACACAUGCAAGUCGAACGGGCCUUGUCCCCUUUUUUUUGGGGGUGGGGUUAGUGGCGAACGGGUGAGUAACACGUGAGUAACCUGCCCCUCACUUCUGGAUAACCGCUUGAAAGGGUGGCUAAUACGGGGUGUUCUGGCCUGCUCGCAUGGGUGGGUUUGGAAAGAUUCGACCGGUUUUGGUUGUUUUGGUGGGGGAUGGGCUCGCGGCCUAUCAGCCUGUUGGUGGGGUGAUGGCCUGCCAAGGCUUUGACGGGUAGCCGGCCUGAGAGGGUGGGCGGUCACACUGGGAGUGAGACACGGCCCAGACUCCUACGGGAGGCAGCAGUGGGGAAUAUUGCACAAUGGGCGCAAGCCUGAUGCAGCGACGCCGCGUGAGGGAUGGAGGCCUUCGGGUUGUGAACCUCUUUCGCCAGUGAAGAAGGUCCUGCUCUUUGUGGUGGGGUUGACGGUAGCUGGGUUAAUGAAGCGCCGGCUAACUACGUG